GAACGCUGGCGGCAGGCUUAACACAUGCAAGUCGAGCGGAAACGAAGGUAGCUUGCUACCAGGCGUCGAGCGGCGGACGGGUGAGUAAUGCUUAGGAAUCUACCGAGUAGUGGGGGAUAGCCAUUGGAAACGAUGAUUAAUACCGCAUAUAUCCUACGGGGGAAAGCAGGGGACCUUCGGGCCUUGCGCUAUUCGAUGAGCCUGAGUGAGAUUAGCUAGUUGGUGGGGUAAAGGCCUACCAAGGCGACGAUCUCUAGCUGGUCUGAGAGGAUGAUCAGCCACACUGGGACUGAGACACGGCCCAGACUCCUACGGGAGGCAGCAGUGGGGAAUAUUGCACAAUGGACGAAAGUCUGAUGCAGCCAUGCCGCGUGUGUGAAGAAGGCCUUCGGGUUGUAAAGCACUUUCAGCGAGGAGGAAAGGUCAGUAAGUAAUAUUUGCUGGCUGUGACGUUACUCGCAGAAGAAGCACCGGCUAAUUUAGUGCCAGCAGCCGCGGUAAUACUAAAGGUGCAAGCGUUAAUCGGAAUUACUGGGCGUAAAGCGCGCGUAGGUGGUUUGUUAAGUUGGAUGUGAAAGCCCAGGGCUCAACCUUGGAACUGCAUUCAAAACUGACUCACUAGAGUACGAGAGAGGUUAGUGGAAUUUCCUGUGUAGCGGUGAAAUGCGUAGAGAUGGGAAGGAACACCAGUGGCGAAGCGACUGACUGGCUCGAUACUG
RNAcentral lists this ribosomal RNA (719 nucleotides) under uncultured bacterium. Its description in RNAcentral is "bacterial SSU rRNA". It matches the Rfam family "Bacterial small subunit ribosomal RNA", at positions 31 to 742 of the family's 1533-position model. The record is from RNAcentral.